UACGUAGGGUGCAAGCGUUGUCCGGAAUUAUUGGGCGUAAAGAGCUCGUAGGCGGUCUGUCGCGUCGGCUGUGAAAUCCCGGAGCUCAACUCCGGGCCUGCAGUCGAUACGGGCAGACUGGAGUUCGGCAGGGGAGACUGGAAUUCCUGGUGUAGCGGUGAAAUGCGCAGAUAUCAGGAGGAACACCGGUGGCGAAGGCGGGUCUCUGGGCCGAUACUGACGCUGAGGAGCGAAAGCGUGGGGGAGCGAACAGG
This 254-nucleotide ribosomal RNA is filed under the name uncultured bacterium. RNAcentral describes it as "partial 16S ribosomal RNA". It matches the Rfam family "Bacterial small subunit ribosomal RNA", at positions 524 to 776 of the family's 1533-position model. The record is from RNAcentral.